UCUGCCCUUCAUCUCACAGCUCAGGUAAGACAAUCUACUGCAACAUCAUUAAGCAGGGCUGAGCCUGGUCAGUACCUGGAUGGGAGACCACACGGGUAAAAACAAGGUUAAUGUUGGAA
This 119-nucleotide ribosomal RNA is filed under the name Danio rerio (zebrafish). Lineage: Eukaryota; Metazoa; Chordata; Actinopteri; Cypriniformes; Danionidae. The record is from RNAcentral.